Long non-coding RNA from Phacochoerus africanus (Common warthog), 1380 nucleotides. RefSeq lists it as uncharacterized. The record is from RefSeq and is a predicted model, not a curated record. Lineage: Eukaryota; Metazoa; Chordata; Mammalia; Artiodactyla; Suidae. The transcript has 4 exons.
UGCCUCUUGUUUCCCGUUUGCUGCAUGUGGUGGUGUGUCUCUGCAGAACUUGCUUCAGAUGGCUGUACGACAUGCCACCGUGGGAAACUGCGUGAGGAGUGUUUCCACCAGCACUCAGGUACUUCUGAUCAUUACUGAAGGGAGUUCGAGGCAAGCUUACCUGCUGUCUGUUGUGUUUGGACACCAUCUACCUGAGGCAGGGGCCCAAGUGAACCUUCAUCUUCAAAGGCCAAAAUUGGAUUCAAAGGAAUGUCUGGGCUCUCACUGUUGGUGACAUCUAAUCUGGAUUGUUUAGAUCCAAUAGAAAUAGAAAACUCCAUCCUAAGCUUAUAUGGAAAUUCAAGGGACCAUGAACAGACAAAUCAAUCCUGAAAAAGAACAAAGUUGGAGGCCUCAUACGCCCUGAUUUCAGAACAUGUUACAAAAGUAUGGUAUUCAAAACAGGAUGGUACCAGCAUAUAGACAGAAAGAAAUCCUUGUGCAUAUGGUCAAAGGGUCCUUGACAAGAAACCAAGACCACUCAAUGGGGAAAAGACAGUCUUUUCACAAAUGGUGUUGGGAAAACUGGAUAUUCACAUGCAAAUGAAUGUAGCUGGGCCUUUACCUUACACCAUAUACAAAAAUGAAUAAAGACAUAAAUGUAAGACUUAAAACUAUAAAAUUCCCAGAAGAAAAUAGGAGGUAUCAUGAUAUUGGAUUUAGUCAUGAUUUCUCAGACAUGACACCAAAAUCACACACAAUGAAAGCAAAAAUAGACAAACAGGACUACAUCCAACGUAAAAACAUCUGUACAUCAAAGGAUACAAUCAACAGAGUAAGAAGGCAACUUACAGAAUUGGAGAUAAUAUUUGCAAACCAUAUAUAUCUGAUAAGGGAUUAUUAGCCAUAAUAUAUAAAUAAUUCCAACAACAAAAAAUUAAAAAUUAAAAAAUUAAAGAUUAAAAAAUGAACAAAGGACUUUGACUAGCUAUUCCUCCAAAAAUGACAUACAAAUGGCCAACAUAUAGAAACCAUACAGACCAUUUCACUGACCAUUAGAGAAAUGCAAAUCAAAACCCUAAAGAGAUAUCAUCUCAUACCCAUUAGGCUACUAUUUAAAAAUAACAACACCCCUCUCCCCAAAACAAAAACAAACAAAAAAACAGGUGUUGGUGAAGAUGCAAAGAAGUUGGAAGACCUUGUACCCCACUGGUUGGGAUUUAAGUAAAAUGAUACCAUCACUAUGGAAGACAGUAUAGAAGUUACUCAAAAAAUUAAAAAUUGAAUUACCAUAAGAUCCAACAACUGAGUACCCAGCCAAAAGAACUGAAGGCAGGAUCUUUAAGAGAUAUUUGUAUACCCAUGUUCACAGCAGUGCUAUUCAUAAGAGUCAAAAGGUGG